AUUUAAAUAGCUUAUAUAAUUAGAGUGUAAUAUUGAAGAUAUUAAGGAGAUUUAUUAAUCUUUAAAUA
Molecule: transfer RNA, 68 nt
Filed under: Lyssa zampa
Lineage: Eukaryota; Metazoa; Arthropoda; Insecta; Lepidoptera; Uraniidae
Description: tRNA-Phe
Source: RNAcentral